AACGCUGGCGGCGUGCCUAAUACAUGCAAGUCGAGCGAACGGACGAGAAGCUUGCUUCUCUGAUGUUAGCGGCGGACGGGUGAGUAACACGUGGAUAACCUACCUAUAAGACUGGGAUAACUUCGGGAAACCGGAGCUAAUACCGGAUAAUAUUUUGAACCGCAUGGUUCAAAAGUGAAAGACGGUCUUGCUGUCACUUAUAGAUGGAUCCGCGCUGCAUUAGCUAGUUGGUAAGGUAACGGCUUACCAAGGCAACGAUGCAUAGCCGACCUGAGAGGGUGAUCGGCCACACUGGAACUGAGACACGGUCCAGACUCCUACGGGAGGCAGCAGUAGGGAAUCUUCCGCAAUGGGCGAAAGCCUGACGGAGCAACGCCGCGUGAGUGAUGAAGGUCUUCGGAUCGUAAAACUCUGUUAUUAGGGAAGAACAUAUGUGUAAGUAACUGUGCACAUCUUGACGGUACCUAAUCAGAAAGCCACGGCUAACUACGUGCCAGCAGCCGCGGUAAUACGUAGGUGGCAAGCGUUAUCCGGAAUUAUUGGGCGUAAAGCGCGCGUAGGCGGUUUUUUAAGUCUGAUGUGAAAGCCCACGGCUCAACCGUGGAGGGUCAUUGGAAACUGGAAAACUUGAGUGCAGAAGAGGAAAGUGGAAUUCCAUGUGUAGCGGUGAAAUGCGCAGAGAUAUGGAGGAACACCAGUGGCGAAGGCGACUUUCUGGUCUGUAACUGACGCUGAUGUGCGAAAGCGUGGGGAUCAAACAGGAUUAGAUACCCUGGUAGUCCACGCCGUAAACGAUGAGUGCUAAGUGUUAGGGGGUUUCCGCCCCUUAGUGCUGCAGCUAACGCAUUAAGCACUCCGCCUGGGGAGUACGACCGCAAGGUUGAAACUCAAAGGAAUUGACGGGGACCCGCACAAGCGGUGGAGCAU
This 927-nucleotide ribosomal RNA is filed under the name Staphylococcus aureus. Its description in RNAcentral is "bacterial SSU rRNA". It matches the Rfam family "Bacterial small subunit ribosomal RNA", at positions 32 to 940 of the family's 1533-position model. Lineage: Bacteria; Bacillati; Bacillota; Bacilli; Caryophanales; Staphylococcaceae. The record is from RNAcentral.